AUUGAACGCUGGCGGCAGGCCUAACACAUGCAAGUCGAACGAGUGGCGGACGGGUGAGUAAUGUCGGGGAAACUGCCUGAUGGAGGGGGAUAACUUCUGGAAACGGUAGCUAUUCCCGCAUACCAUCGGAUGUGUCCAGAUGGGAUUAGCUAGUAGGUGGGGUAAAGGCUCACCUAUGCGACGAUCCCUAGCUAGUCUGAGAGGAUGACCAGAGACACUGGAACUGAGACUCGGCCCAGACUCCUACGGGAGGCAGCAGUGGGGAAUCUUCCGGAAGGGAGGAAAGUCUGACGGAGCAACGCCGCGGGAGUGAUGACGGCCUGCGGGGUGUAAAGUUUGUUAAUCGGGACGACGGUACCGGAAGAGAAAGCCACGGCUAACUACGUGCCAGCAGCCGCGGUAAUAC
Molecule: ribosomal RNA, 406 nt
Filed under: uncultured bacterium
Lineage: Bacteria
Description: partial 16S ribosomal RNA
Rfam family: Bacterial small subunit ribosomal RNA
Source: RNAcentral